This 800-nucleotide ribosomal RNA is filed under the name uncultured bacterium. RNAcentral describes it as "bacterial SSU rRNA". It matches the Rfam family "Bacterial small subunit ribosomal RNA", at positions 8 to 824 of the family's 1533-position model. The record is from RNAcentral.
AGAGUUUGAUCCUGGCUCAGGACGAACGCUGGCGGCGUGCCUAACACAUGCAAGUCGGGCGGAGUCAGUAGCAAUACUGACUUAGCGGCGGACGGGUGAGUAACGCGUGGGCAACCUGCCCUACAGAGGGGGAUAACAGUGCGAAAGUACUGCUAAUACCGCAUAACAUUAUCGGGUCACAUGACCUGAUAAUCAAAGGAGAAAUCCGCUGAAGGAUGGGCCCGCGUCUGAUUAGCUAGUUGGUAAGGUAAAGGCUUACCAAGGCGACGAUCAGUAGCCGAUCUGAGAGGAUGACCGGCCACACUGGAACUGAGACACGGUCCAGACUCCUACGGGAGGCAGCAGUGGGGAAUAUUGCACAAUGGGGGAAACCCUGAUGCAGCAACGCCGCGUGAAGGAAGAAGGUCUUCGGAUUGUAAACUUCUUUGAUGAGGGACGAAAAAAAUGACGGUACCUCAAAAACAAGCCACGGCUAACUACGUGCCAGCAGCCGCGGUAAUACGUAGGUGGCGAGCGUUGUCCGGAAUUAUUGGGCGUAAAGGGCGCGUAGGCGGUUACUUAAGUCAGAUGUGAAAUCCCGAGGCUUAACUUCGGGCGUGCAUUUGAAACUGGGUGGCUAGAGUGCAGGAGAGGUAAGUGGAAUUCCUAGUGUAGCGGUGAAAUGCGUAGAUAUUAGGAGGAACACCAGUGGCGAAGGCGACUUACUGGACUGUAACUGACGCUGAGGCGCGAAAGCGUGGGGAGCAAACAGGAUUAGAUACCCUGGUAGUCCACGCUGUAAACGAUGGAUACUAGGUGUG